Molecule: ribosomal RNA, 254 nt
Filed under: uncultured bacterium
Lineage: Bacteria
Description: partial 16S ribosomal RNA
Rfam family: Bacterial small subunit ribosomal RNA
Source: RNAcentral
UACAGAGGGGGCAAGCGUUGUUCGGAAUUACUGGGCGUAAAGGGCGCGUAGGCGGCCACCGCAAGUCGACUGUGAAAUCUCCGGGCUUAACCCGGAAAGGUCAGCCGAUACUGCGGGGCUAGAGUGCAGAAGGGGCAACUGGAAUUCUCGGUGUAGCGGUGAAAUGCGUAGAUAUCGAGAGGAACACCUGCGGCGAAGGCGGGUUGCUGGGCUGACACUGACGCUGAAGCGCGAAAGCUAGGGGAGCGAACGGG